This 73-nucleotide transfer RNA is filed under the name Pseudovigna argentea. RNAcentral describes it as "tRNA-Glu". The record is from RNAcentral. Lineage: Eukaryota; Viridiplantae; Streptophyta; Magnoliopsida; Fabales; Fabaceae.
CUCCCGGAAAUGAUUAAUCAAAAAUUUCCACGGAAUUCUGAAAGAUGGAAAAAUCCUUUUUUUUAUCGAAUCA